CUGCGGAGGAUCAUUAACGUACGCAAUAUCAUGUCUGAAAACUAGGUGUUCGAUCGACCGUCUUUGGCCGGCCGACGACGCCCGGUGCGAGAAUUUAGAAGGGCUUCUUUGGGGUAGACACCCUCGCUCGGGUGUCUUUAAAUGUCGUCGCACGUCUCGCAAAAGGUUUCCUUUCUAGUACCUCGACCGAUCGAAUCGUAUCCCGUGUCGUUGGGUCGUACGCGGAACGAAAGGAAUUUCUUUCCGAGAGAGACUGCCACCCGGCCCCGUUUUUUUUUCGUCAACGUGCUUGCGACUGUACCGUAUGGAGAAAGGAAAAACGAGAGACAACUUUUAACGGUGGAUCUCUUGGCUCGUGCAUCGAUGAAGAACGCAGCCAGCUGCGAUAAGUAGUGUGAAUUGCAGAAUUCAGUGAAUCAUCGAAUCUUUGAACGCAAAUGGCGCUCUCGGGUUCUCCCGGGAGCACGUCCGUCUGAGUGUCGGCAUACAUAUCGUAUCGCACGAACGUGCGGCGUUGAGGCGUCGCGGCGUCCUUGCCGCGUCCCUCGAAAUGCAGGAGAACCGCCGUGUAAGCGAUCCUCGGAGGCCUAAGACAAGUUGGUUCCCCGAGCAGCAGCCGGUUCGGUUCGCCGAUAGUGACCUGAUCGAAUCUCGACCUCAGAUCGGGCGAGACUACCCGCUGAAUUUAAGCAUAUCAAUAAGCGGAGGAAAAGAAACUAACAAGGAUUCCCCCAGUAACGGCGAGUGAAGCGGGAAGAGCU
Molecule: ribosomal RNA, 761 nt
Filed under: Palythoa aff. mutuki ANK-2014
Lineage: Eukaryota; Metazoa; Cnidaria; Anthozoa; Zoantharia; Sphenopidae
Description: eukaryotic LSU rRNA
Rfam family: 5.8S ribosomal RNA (bases 329-482)
Source: RNAcentral